UAAGAGGUGCAUAGGAAAAUUAGUUUGGU
This 29-nucleotide non-coding RNA is filed under the name Mus musculus (house mouse). Lineage: Eukaryota; Metazoa; Chordata; Mammalia; Rodentia; Muridae. The record is from RNAcentral.